GAUGAAGAACGUAGCGAAAUGCGAUAACUAAUGUGAAUUGCAGAAUUCCGUGAAUCAUCGAGUCUUUGAACGCACAUUGCGCCCCCUGGUAUUCCGGGGGGCAUGCCUGUCCGAGCGUCAUUGCUGCCCAUCAAGCACGGCUUGUGUGUUGGGUCCCGUCCCCCUCUCCCGGGGGACGGACCCGAAAGGCAGCGGCGGCACCGCGUCCGGUCCUCGAGCGUAUGGGGCUUUGUCACCCGCUCUUGUAGGCCCGGCCGGCGCUUGCCGACACCCAACCAUUUUUUUCAGGUUGACCACGGAUCAGGUAGGGAUACCCGCUGAACUUAAGCAUAUCAAUAAGCGGAGGA
Molecule: unclassified non-coding RNA, 347 nt
Filed under: soil metagenome
Description: partial contains 5.8S ribosomal RNA, internal transcribed spacer 2, and large subunit ribosomal RNA
Rfam family: 5.8S ribosomal RNA (bases 1-120)
Source: RNAcentral